CGUGGAGUAGAGCAGCCCGGUAGCUCGCCAGCCUCAUAAGCUGGAUACCGUGAGUUCAAAUCUCACCUCCGCAACCA
Molecule: transfer RNA, 77 nt
Filed under: Martinezella rhizogenes
Lineage: Bacteria; Pseudomonadati; Pseudomonadota; Alphaproteobacteria; Hyphomicrobiales; Rhizobiaceae
Description: Agrobacterium rhizogenes tRNA-Met
Rfam family: tRNA
About the family: Transfer RNA (tRNA) molecules are approximately 80 nucleotides in length. Their secondary structure includes four short double-helical elements and three loops (D, anti-codon, and T loops). Further hydrogen bonds mediate the characteristic L-shaped molecular structure. tRNAs have two regions of fundamental functional importance: the anti-codon, which is responsible for specific mRNA codon recognition, and the 3' end, to which the tRNAs corresponding amino acid is attached (by aminoacyl-tRNA synthetases). tRNAs cope with the degeneracy of the genetic code in two manners: having more than one tRNA (with a specific anti-codon) for a particular amino acid; and 'wobble' base-pairing, i.e. permitting non-standard base-pairing at the 3rd anti-codon position.
Source: RNAcentral